GGAGAGGUCGCAUAGUUGGCCUAGUGCGCUCGCUUGGAAAGCGAGUAUACCGAGAGGUAUCGCGGGUUCGAAUCCCGCCCUCUCCG
Molecule: transfer RNA, 86 nt
Filed under: Bacillota bacterium
Lineage: Bacteria; Bacillati; Bacillota
Also listed under: 1 other name
Description: Firmicutes bacterium (anaerobic digester metagenome) tRNA-Ser
Rfam family: tRNA
About the family: Transfer RNA (tRNA) molecules are approximately 80 nucleotides in length.
Source: RNAcentral